Molecule: small RNA, 77 nt
Filed under: Xanthomonas prunicola
Lineage: Bacteria; Pseudomonadati; Pseudomonadota; Gammaproteobacteria; Lysobacterales; Lysobacteraceae
Description: sX9 sRNA
Rfam family: Xanthomonas sRNA sX9
Source: RNAcentral
AUGUACAACUCGUACAUUCCGGUUCUGAGUGCGCCGUCCACGCCCACCUGACGACUGCUCGCUACGUUUUGGUAGCC